CCCAGGCUUUGUCUCUAGGAUGAUUAACUUGCUGCAGGUCUCUGCUGGAGUGGGGAGAAUUGUUUAGGGUGGCACAAGAAGCUGGAACUAACUGGGAGCACUGGGGUGAAUAAAGAACAAGAACAUUUGGACUGAAUAUCACAUCCAAUAGCAAGAGCUGACAUUCAGCCUAGGAGGAGGGGGAAAUCGGCCACCCUCGCAAAGGUGGAAUGGAGAAUACGCUACUGGGAAUGAUCCUGUGCCGACUGCUCAAUAGAUGAGAUGACAUCCAGGGUCCAGAUUAGACAGAAAGGAGUUAUGAACAUCCACCAACUGCAGUGUCUACAACUUCAGAGGCACCUGCUGGUCCCACCAAACAUACAUCAGACAAUAAGUGAUCUGUAUUGUUUUUAAAAAGACUUUCUUCAUCAUCCAUAGUUUUGCUGGAUGAGUUCAUAAUCAGGACCAGCAAAUUCUAAUAAGUUUCCAGCUGAAAGAUUGCUCGGUUCAUUCAUGCAACAAAUUCUCCUUGAUUGAUAUAGUUCAAUCAUUACAACCAGGCUGUGCUCCACCUGGCAGAGCAGACACUGUCGGAAGGUUGCUGGAUACAGCUUAUGAGAAGGAAAUUGAACCAUGUGCAAAAAACUUUUACAGGAAAUUGGUUACGCUGAGUCUUGAUGGGUGGCACCACCUCACAAUGAUCCAGUAAUAUGUGCUUGUGCGACAACAGAAGAUGCGGUUGUCUGUGUUACAGAAAAAAUUGCUGCAUCACGAACAGCCCAUACAGCAGAAUACUUAGAACAGUGGUUCUCAACCUACUUACCAUUGUGUGCGGCUCUCUAUGCAUUAUGUGGGCCACAUCAGCACAAUAUACACAUUACCUUUAUGGCCCUGAAGAUGUCACAUGGGCUGCAGCUGUGCGCUGAUUGGGCCGCAAGCGGCCCACGAGCUGAGAACCACAGACUUAGAAGAAGUAAUAGUAAAAGCUAUAACAAACUAUGAACAUUCAAGUGUCAAGUGCAUAGCUUUGUCAUAGACAAUGUUGCAAAUGUAGCAAAGAGGAGAAGAAAUGUAGAAGAUAAAUGGAACCUGCAGUGCUCAUAGAGUAUCAGGGUUGGAAGGGACCUCAGCAGAUCUAGUUGAACCCCCUGCUCAAAGCAGGACCAAUCCCCAACUAAAUCAUCCAAAAGAUUUUUGCCCCAUAUCCCUAAAUGGCCCCCUCAAGGAUGGAACUCUCAACCCUGGGUUUAGCAGGCCAAUGCUCAAACCACCAUCCCUCCCCCCUCUAAAAGAUACCUCUUUUAGCUAGACUAAAAUACAAGUCCAGGAACAAAGGCAAAUGUUGAAAUUGCCAAAUACUUCCAUAACAAAUCACCUUGCUUUGGCGUCACUGAAAAGAGCAGGUGAUUCCAAACUCAUUAUCCUGCGACAUGGAUGUUGGAAUUCAGGGGGUGACUGUUUUGAGCUAGUUAGUAAAAACUGGCCUAUUCUGAUGAUAAUUUGUGAAGAAAAUUAUGACCAAGUGAAUGAAACUAUCACAGCCAAAGUAGCCACCAUCAGGCUAAAGAGAAAUGUAGACGCUGGGCCAAAUAUACUGAAACCUAUUUCCAUAGCCUUGGAUGAACUGCGGAAAGAUUGCUGCGGUAUGGUGGAUGCUGCUGAAAUUUGGAAAAAACUUCAAGGGACAUUGAAGAAAGAAAUACCCACCAACACAGGUAAAUUGCAGGCAGAUGGAUCCACCUCAUUUCCUUGCCAAUAUUCUCAACCCAAAGCACCAGGAUAGAUGCUGCUGCUAUGACAUGGGCAUAUAAUAAUCGCCCAUCAGUCAUAUCAACCACAAUAAAUCUCAGGACUGGAGGUGAACCGUUCAAGCAGUACACAUUUGCUGAUGUUUUAAAGAAAAUCACACCACUGAACAGCACUGAUUACAGUUAAUCCCUCUGGUCCUGUAAUAAAUAAUUUAGUUGGAAAUGUGAAACAUGUUUGGAUAAGAGAAAUGUAUGUAUCCAAAACAUUUAAGGUUGAUUUGUUUAAUAAAAAUAAAUUGAAUAUGC
Long non-coding RNA from Malaclemys terrapin pileata, 2033 nucleotides. RefSeq lists it as uncharacterized. The transcript is spliced from 2 exons. Lineage: Eukaryota; Metazoa; Chordata; Testudines; Emydidae. The record is from RefSeq and is a predicted model, not a curated record.